AUUCCAGCUCCAAUAGCGUAUAUUAAAGUUGUUGCAGUUAAAAAGCUCGUAGUUGGAUUUCUGGCGGGAGUCCGGGUCGGCCUUAACGGGUUGCACUGUUGUGACGUCUCGCCGUUUCGAGGGGAAUGGGCUCGCUAUUAGGUUAGUGUGUUCGGGAACCUCGUCGUUUACUGUGAAAAAAUUAGAGUGUUCAAAGCAGGCCUUUGCUGUGAAUACAUUAGCAUGGAAUAAUAAGAUAGGACUGUAGUGCUAUUUUGUUGGUUUGCGUACUAUGGUAAUGAUUAAUAGGGAUAGUUGGGGGUAUUCAUAUUCAAUUGUCAGAGGUGAAAUUCUUGGAUUUAUGGAAGAUGAACUACUGCGAAAGCAUUUACCAAGGAUGUUUUCAUCG
This 388-nucleotide ribosomal RNA is filed under the name Stramenopiles sp. MAST-7B. Its description in RNAcentral is "partial small subunit ribosomal RNA". It matches the Rfam family "Eukaryotic small subunit ribosomal RNA", at positions 582 to 975 of the family's 1831-position model. The record is from RNAcentral.